Molecule: ribosomal RNA, 468 nt
Filed under: uncultured bacterium
Lineage: Bacteria
Description: partial 16S ribosomal RNA
Rfam family: Bacterial small subunit ribosomal RNA
Source: RNAcentral
GACGAACGCUGGCGGCGUGCUUAACACAUGCAAGUCGAACGGAAAGGCCCUGCUUUUGUGGGGUGCUCGAGUGGCGAACGGGUGAGUAACACGUGAGUAACCUGCCCUUGACUUUGGGAUAACUUCAGGAAACUGGGGCUAAUACCGGAUAGGAGCUCCUGCUGCAUGGUGGGGGUUGGAAAGUUUCGGCGGUUGGGGAUGGACUCGCGGCUUAUCAGCUUGUUGGUGGGGUAGUGGCUUACCAAGGCUUUGACGGGUAGCCGGCCUGAGAGGGUGACCGGCCACCAUGGGACUGAGAUACGGCCCAGACUCGUACGGGAGGCAGCAGUGGGAAAUAUUGCACAAUGGGCGGAAGCCUGAUGCAGCAACGCCGCGUGCGGGAUGACGGCCUUCGGGUUGUAAACCGCUUUCGCCUGUGACGAAGCGGGAGUGACGGUAAUGGGUAAAGAAGCACCGGCUAACUACGUG